RNAcentral lists this ribosomal RNA (1147 nucleotides) under uncultured bacterium. RNAcentral describes it as "bacterial SSU rRNA". It matches the Rfam family "Bacterial small subunit ribosomal RNA", at positions 57 to 1201 of the family's 1533-position model. The record is from RNAcentral.
GCAGUCGUGCGAGAAGUAUCUUCGGAUAUGAGUAGAGCGGCGGACGGGUGAGUAACGCGUAGGAAUCUACCUAGUAGAAGGGGAUAGCCCGGGGAAACCCGGAUUAAUACCGUAUACCUCCUUCGGGAGAAAGAAGGCCUCUCCUUGAAGCUUUCGCUACUAGAUGAGCCUGCGUAAGAUUAGCUUGUUGGUGAGGUAAAGGCUCACCAAGGCUACGAUCUUUAGCUGGUCUGAGAGGACGAUCAGCCACAUUGGGACUGAGACACGGCCCAGACUCCUACGGGAGGCAGCAGUGGGGAAUAUUGGACAAUGGGCGCAAGCCUGAUCCAGCCAUACCGCGUGUGUGAAGAAGGCCUUCGGGUUGUAAAGCACUUUAAGCAGGGAGAAAAAGUUAUAAGCUAAUAUCUUAUGACCUUGAUGUUACCUGCAGAAUAAGCACCGGCUAAUUCCGUGCCAGCAGCCGCGGUAAUACGGAAGGUGCAAGCGUUAAUCGGAAUUACUGGGCGUAAAGCGCGCGUAGGUGGUUUGUUAAGUUGGAUGUGAAAGCCCUGGGCUCAACCUAGGAACUGCAUCCAAAACUAACUCACUAGAGUACGAUAGAGGGAGGUAGAAUUCAUAGUGUAGCGGUGGAAUGCGUAGAUAUUAUGAAGAAUACCAGUGGCGAAGGCGGCCUCCUGGAUCUGUACUGACACUGAGGUGCGAAAGCGUGGGUAGCGAACAGGAUUAGAUACCCUGGUAGUCCACGCCGUAAACGAUGACAACUAGCUGUUGGGAGACAAAGUCUUUCAGUGGCGCAGCUAACGCUUUAAGUUGUCCGCCUGGGGAGUACGGCCGCAAGGCUAAAACUCAAAUGAAUUGACGGGGACCCGCACAAGCGGUGGAGCAUGUGGUUUAAUUCGAUGCAACACGAAAAACCUUACCUACUCUUGACAUACUUGGGAGCUCUUGUAAUGAGAGUGUGCCUUAUGGAACCAAGAUACAGGUGCUGCAUGGCUGUCGUCAGCUCGUGUCGUGAGAUGUUCCGUUAAGUCGGAUAACGAGCGCAACCCUUACCCUUAUUUGCCAGCGAUUCGGUCGGGAACUAUAAGGGGACUGCCGGUGAUAAACCCGGAGGAAGGUGAGGACGACGUCAAGUCAUCAUGGGCCC